Molecule: ribosomal RNA, 498 nt
Filed under: uncultured bacterium
Lineage: Bacteria
Description: partial 16S ribosomal RNA
Rfam family: Bacterial small subunit ribosomal RNA
Source: RNAcentral
AGCGAACGCUGGCGGCGUGCCUAACACAUGCAAGUCGAACGUGAAAAGGGAAACCUGAGUACAGUGGCGUACGGGUGAGUAACGCGUAGGUAAUCUACCCCAGAAUCUGGAAUAACCUGCCGAAAGGCGGGCUAAUACUGGAUAGAGCGAGGGAACUCGUAAGAGAGUUUUUCGGGAAAGGGAGCCCGCAAGGGCCUUCGUUCUGGGAUGAGCCUGCGUCUCAUUAGCUAGUUGGUAAGGUAACGGCUUACCAAGGCGAUGAUGAGUAGCUGGUCUGAGAGGAUGAUCAGCCACACUGGAACUAAAACACGGUCCAGACUCCUACGGGAGGCAGCAGUGGGGAAUCUUGCGCAAUGGACGAAAGUCUGACGCAGCCACGCCGCGUGAGUGAAGAAGGCCUUCGGGUUGUAAAGCUCUGUCGGAUGGGACGAACAUCUUCAUAGUGAAUAGCUAUGAGGACUGACGGUACCAUCAAAGGAAGCACCGGCUAACUCCGUG